This is a non-coding RNA of Nerophis lumbriciformis (worm pipefish), 2175 nucleotides long. NCBI's taxonomy places the organism in Eukaryota, Metazoa, Chordata, Actinopteri, Syngnathiformes, Syngnathidae. The record is from RefSeq and is a predicted model, not a curated record.
CACCCCGGAAGCGCUUUUUUGUCAGUCAGGACCCAAACAAACAAGACGUGAGCGUAAAUACCAAAGUUCGUGUUUAAAUGACAUCGACUAGAUGCCUUAUUAUCCAUAUACACUAGGUAUAAGAAAUAGGUGAUACCGGAAUAAUUCUGUUCCUAUACUUUGACUUAGCUAAUGUUAGCAUUAGCAAUAUUAGCUUGUUAGCAUGUUAGCAUGUUAGCAAUGUUUAGCCGCCAUGGCCGCGUCGAUUCCUCCACUCAGUGCCGCUCCUGCACUAAAUCAAAAACAACGAAGGGCCGCCUCGAGGAAGGAAAGAAGAAAAAGGAAACGUCAAGCCACCGCCCAAGCCAGACAACGUGCUUUACAUAACGGAGCGACUGUUGAUCCUCCUGAUGAAGAAGAAGACGAAGAAGAAGAAGAAGAAGAAGAAGCCAGUAUUGUUGAGAAAGAAAGACAGCGGCUGCAUGAAGAGUGGCUGCAGCGUGAGCGUCUGGCACAGGAGGAGUUCAGGCUGAAGUCAGAGAGGAAGGACGCUGCCAGGAAACGCAAAGAAGAUGAGGAGCGCUGCAUCAAGGAGGAAUGGGAGGCCCAGCAGAGGCAAGAAGAAGAAGAAAAGGAGCAGAAGCUGCAGGAGAAGCGAGGCAGAGAGGAGGCUGCUCAGAAAAUGUUGGAUGAAGCAGAACAUCAGCUAAACGCUGAAGCACCUUGGAUGAAUCCUGAAGCUCCAAAGUCUGAGAAGUCUGAACAUUUUGGCACGGAGCGAGACACAGCCAACUGUCCUUUCUUCCUCAAAACUGGAGCUUGUCGAUUUGGGGACAGAUGCUCUCGGAAGCACACCGGUCCCACCAGCAGCCCCACUCUGAUGAUCCGCAGCAUGUUCCUGACCUUUGGCAUGGAGCAGUCUCGACGUGACGACUACGAUGGAGACGCUUGUCUGGAACACAGCGAAGAAGAUCUGCAGGAAUCUUUCACCGAGUUCUACCGCGACGUUCUACCAGAGUUUAGGAGCGUUGGCAAGGUGGUGCAGUUUAAGGUGAGCUGCAACUAUGAACCUCACCUGCGAGGGAACGUGUACGUGCAGUUUGACACUGAGCAGCAGUGCAGAGACGCUCUCAUCAAGUUCAACGGGAGGUUCUACGCCGGCAAGCAGCUUCACUGUCAGCUCUGUCCCGUCACUCGCUGGAAGAACGCCAUUUGUGGACUCUUUGACAGGAACAGAUGUCCCAAAGGCAAACAUUGUAACUUCCUGCACGUCUUCAGAAACCCUGCCAAUGAGUUCUGGGAGGCGGACCGGGACCUGAACCUGUCCCCUGACCACAGCGUCAGAGGAAGCCACUCGGAGCGCACCUGGCGACACCGUCAGCACAGCUCCAGUCCUCCCAGGUCCCAGAGGUCUCACAGGAGGACUUGGCACAGGAGGGACACGGAGCGCAGCACCAGGAGCAGAAGCCCAGACACCAGGAGCAGAAGCAGAGACACCAGGAGCAGAAGCAGAGACACCAGGAGCAGAAGCCCAGACACCAGGAGCAGAAGCAGAGACACCAGGAGCAGAAGCAGAGACACCAGGAGCAAGGAGAAGGACUCAAAGAAGCAGGUGAGGAACAACAGCAAAGAUGAGAAUGGAGACAGAAGACACAGCUGGAGCCGAGAUGCAGAAAGAAGCAGAGAACGGCGAGAGAAGAAAGUCGGUCUCAGCCCAGAGAAGAAGGAGGGAAAACAAGGUCGCCAUCACAAACACUCCAAGAAGAGCAAGAAGAAGAGCAAGAAGAGGAGCAAGAAGAGAAGUUCCUCUGCUGAAGACAGGUCUUCUUCUUCUUCUGGACACUCGCAUGGAGACCAAGAAGAUGUUCUGGAGGACAACAGGAGUGAUGAGCAGGAAGUUUGUGCAGGAGAAAGUCCCAAAGCUUUUAUGGAAGGAGAGCAAAGCACAAAGGAAGAUGCUGGAGAGAAGUGACUCUACUACUCAGGUCAGAGGUCACCUUUCUUCUUAUUCUCGACUACAAACUUCUUAUCCGUCAGGUGAGAGGUCACAUGUUUCUUCCUAUUCUCUACUAGCAACUUCUUAUCCAUCAGGUCAGAGGUCACAUGUUCCUUCUUAUUUCAUUACAAUAAAUGUCUGAGUCAGGUCAGAGGUCACAUGUUUCUUCUUAUUUCAUUACAAUAAAUGUCUGAGUCAGG